This 468-nucleotide ribosomal RNA is filed under the name uncultured bacterium. Its description in RNAcentral is "partial 16S ribosomal RNA". It matches the Rfam family "Bacterial small subunit ribosomal RNA", at positions 28 to 507 of the family's 1533-position model. The record is from RNAcentral.
GACGAACGCUGGCGGCGUGCUUAACACAUGCAAGUCGAACGGAAAGGCCCUGCUUUUGUGGGGUGCUCGAGUGGCGAACGGGUGAGUAACACGUGAGUAACCUGCCCUUGACUUUGGGAUAACUUCAGGAAACUGGGGCUAAUACCGGAUAGGAGCUCCUGCUGCAUGGUGGGGGUUGGAAAGUUUCGGCGGUUGGGGAUGGACUCGCGGCUUAUCAGCUUGUUGGGGGGGUAGUGGCUUACCAAGGCUUUGACGGGUAGCCGGCCUGAGAGGGUGACCGGCGACAUUGGGACUAAGAUACGGCCCAGAAUCCUACGGGAGGCAGCAGUGGGGAGUAUUGCACAAUGGGCGGAAGCCUGAGGCAGCGGCGCCGCGUGCGGGAUGACGGCCUUCGAGUUGUAAACCGCUUUCGCCUGUGACGAAGCGUGAGUGACGGUAAUGGGUAAAAAAGCACCGGCUAACUACGUG